GUGGGGAAUCUUAGACAAUGGGCGCAAGCCUGAUCUAGCCAUGCCGCGUGAGCGAUGAAGGCCUUAGGGUUGUAAAGCUCUUUCGUGGGGGAAGAUAAUGACUGUACCCCAAGAAGAAGCCCCGGCUAACUCCGUGCCAGCAGCCGCGGUAAUACGGAGGGGGCUAGCGUUGUUCGGAAUUACUGGGCGUAAAGCGCACGUAGGCGGACUGGAAAGUCAGGGGUGAAAUCCCGGGGCUCAACCCCGGAACUGCCUUUGAAACUCCCAGUCUUGAGUUCGAGAGAGGUGAGUGGAAUUCCGAGUGUAGAGGUGAAAUUCGUAGAUAUUCGGAGGAACACCAGUGGCGAAGGCGGCUCACUGGCUCGAUACUGACGCUGAGGUGCGAAAGCGUGGGGAGCAAACAGGAUUAGAUACCCGGGUAGUCC
RNAcentral lists this ribosomal RNA (425 nucleotides) under uncultured bacterium. RNAcentral describes it as "partial 16S ribosomal RNA". It matches the Rfam family "Bacterial small subunit ribosomal RNA", at positions 354 to 796 of the family's 1533-position model. The record is from RNAcentral.